UCUUGCUCCCAAAUGCCUGUUCAUUUUAACCUUUUGAUCAUUAACAAUUGAUCCAUUGAGGGAAAAAGGGAAAAAAAAGAAAAAAAAAAGGAAAAAGAAAAGGAAAAAGAGAGAUGUUAAUGUUGAAGUUCAACAAGCCCUUUUUCAGGUUAAAUGGUUUACGUUUCUUUAACUUGAUCUUACUGAGUAUAAAGUAUUUGUGGUUGCCUUGAUUCACGUUAAUCUUGUAACAAAUGGCUUCUAUUUUGUGAAAAAGUGCUUGCAUUUAAGACUAUUGUGCUUAUGAUAUUACAUGAUUCCUUAUAUCACAAUUUGCCCAAGGAGGAACUGAUGCGAGUUCAUGAAUAUAAUUUUGACCAUCCCGGUAAUGUCUACCCUUUCCUAAAGUUGGAGAAACAAAUAUUGUAGUGGUAUUUUGUAGAAUAUCUAAACUAUAUAUGUCAUGUUGUAGUGGUAUUUUGAGUCAAAAUUCUGGCACCUGUUUGCUAAUUAUGCUGUGUAUGAAUCAGUGGGAGGAUCCUUAUAAAUUCUUUGGCAGGUCAAUCCUUCAGAUGAUAAUUUUGGAAGGGAUACUAAUUUUUCAUAUCGUUUCCAAAAAUGCUGUGAUCUAGUCUAGUUACUCAUGUAUAUGAACCAUGCAUCAAAGUGGCAGCUGUAAAAGCUAAAAGUCCAUCUUUACAUGCAUGAAAUCCACCCUCUCCAUAAGUCCACUUUUGGGGGCGUAAAACAAUGUAAGAACAUCAUUAAAUUGGCUCCAAUUGAAAGGCUAAUAACUUUAUUUUUCGACCAGCCUAACAUCUUGUAAUUCUAAGACUAUUUGAAUGACUUAGAACCAUUUUGUUCUUUGGUGGAAAGCUUUUAGCCCUUUAUGCUGGUGAAAUUGGUGGGAGCUGCUUUGGUGGUUUUGUUCAUCUUUUCUGGUACAAAGGUGGAAGCAGAUGGGUCAAAUCACAAGUAUAAGGGGAGAGAUCAUGUCCCUUUGUUUGCAAACAAAGUGGGUCUUUUUCACAAUCCAAGGGAUCUAUCUUACAACAAUUUCAGUGGAGAUUUGCAAGUCUCAUUCAGUAAUUUGACGAAUCUUAACAUUCUGUCAAGAUAAGAUUACUGAUUUUGAGAUGAAGCUCAUGGACAUUGACAGCGAGCAUCUUGGAAUUCCAGGAGUAGAGUAUCAUGCCAUUGUAAAGAUGCCAUCAGGUUCGUCAAAGAAUCCUAACCUCUGAAUCCUGGGCGCUUGGUUGUUGAAAUAGAGCCAUUGGAUAAUUUUCCUUUUAAACUGUCCAAUGAUGUACACCAAUCCCAUAGUCAUCUGAUCAAAACGAGCUGAAAUUUUAGUUCAAGAUACAUCUAAAAUGGGGUGGACUGUUCAAUUUGAAUUAUUUGCAUUCAAAAUAUGCAAUUUUUAGGUUCUUUUAAAGCACAUACGCACCAUUCAUCACACUGUCAGAGUAUCAAAAGCUUUUCUCCGCUGCUUCAAUCCGCCGUAUACGUAAAAUAUUAGAGUAUCUGUCUAUGGUAUACCUCGCUGGUCAAUGUGGACUUAUUCAAUAGCGAGUACUGCUCUAAUAUUGGAGUGCGACUUGCUUGUGACCCCGGAACCAGCGAUGUGAGUGCUACCUUUGACUAUAGGGCCCACCUCAAUAUGCAUUGCUCAUAAUACAGACCUUUAUAUUAAUAGCUACUGAAAAAGCUUUGUGGAUCCCAUCAUAAUGUGUGUUCUAUCUACCCCUAUCUAAGCAUUUUGCUAGCUCACCAAAACAUCUCUUCAUUUGGUUGACUUAACCUUUCCAUUUUAGGCAUGCCAACACACGUUUAAAAAGAAAUGCACUAACGGCCUGUUUGGACAGUGGUAUUAAGUUUUAUUAAAUGGGAUUGCAUUACUAAUCCCACUUUGAAAUUGGGGAUGUCAUGUUCGGAAGGAGUGUGAGAUGGGAUUAAAAUUAACUUUGUAGGCUUUGGAAAAUGAGCCUUGUGUUGGAAAGUUUGGGAUGGGAUUAUUAAUCCCACGGUUGAUGGAUUUUUGCUUCAUCUAAGUUCAAUCCAAAUGCAAUUUGAAAGUAAAUCCUGGGAUUUAUUUUUUAAUGCAUACAUUCCAAACAUAGUGUUAGGAAAUAUGGGAUACACCCAAUCCAGGGACAAUACCUUACACAUGCAUUUAUUGUAACUUUUACAAUUCCAUCCACCUUAAUCCCACCUAAUGCAAUGGGCCAAACAAGCCCUAACAGUCUACAUUCAAUGGAGAAAAAGAUUUGGUAGAUAGGAUCUUCCAAUUAGGGAGAUUUUUUUUUUCAUGUUUCAUCCAUGAUGGCAGGCAUCCGAUCAAUGGCAUGGUUGCACUAGUAAAGAGCCCCAAAUAUACAGAUUAGCAACCAAACAGGGAAGUUCCAUGUUGGUGACAAACAGGGAACUCACCAUCUAAAAUGAUAUUUAAAAUCCUGCCAAAGUAUAAUUAUAUUAGUAAAUAAAAAUAUACUAAAAUACCUUUAAAAUAGUAGGGCCCUGUUUGGUAGAAACCUAAAAAUGAGCUCAUCUCAUGUUAGUCAAUUGUAAUUUUGUAUUACAGAUCUUGAUCUCUAAUGCGUUAGGGAUCAAGAUCUCCACCACACGCUUACUGUUAAAGAAAUGAGAUGAAUUCAUUUUUACGCAUCUACCAAACAGGGCCUAAUAUAUAACCAUUAUAGUUCAGCAAUGCUCAAGUGCCCUUAGAGCACACGCAAGUCAUAAUGCUCCUAGCUGUAUUUAGACAUUUUAAUUUUAAACCGUCCAAUCCGUUGAUCUAGACUUUCAUUAGAUCCAAAGCACAUUUCACAUUUCAUGGGCUACCAUGCAAACAUCGCAUGACAAUGUUAAGCAUCUUCAAUAGCCUUCAAUAUGGACGGUAAAGAUUGAUCACACAAAAGUAGGUUCAAUCAAUAAUUUAAUCUGUCUAUUUGUUACGGCAUGUCGUGGAUUGGUUAUGAUAUUACGGAAUCACUUUUGUCAGGCAAUCUUAGUCAUCACAUUCAUCACAUCCAUCACUUGGAACAAGGAUGAGAAGAAAAAGAAGGCCAAUUCAAAGAUGAAUUGGAUCAUCCAAUCAGUGUGAUGUCUGUAGGGUUACCCUUGAAUUCUGUUUUGGAUUCAAUGAACAGUUCAAAUAGAUUGGUUAAACUGCCCAAGUGGCCUGAUACAACUAGGAGCACUAUUAACUUACAAGGCUCCAAGAGAACUGGAGCAUCUUUCAUCUAAUCCUUUUUCCUACAGCACUCAUUCCCAAUGUUUAACAUUUGUCAACUCUCCUACAUUAGAGAAAACUAGGUAUGUUAAUGCAUGGAGCACAAUGAUCAUCAUCAUCAUUAUUA
Molecule: RNA transcript, 3338 nt
Organism: Magnolia sinica
Lineage: Eukaryota; Viridiplantae; Streptophyta; Magnoliopsida; Magnoliales; Magnoliaceae
Gene name: proliferating cell nuclear antigen-like
Exons: 4
Source: RefSeq, a predicted model, not a curated record